This 429-nucleotide ribosomal RNA is filed under the name Pseudomonadota bacterium. RNAcentral's name for it is "Proteobacteria bacterium partial 16S ribosomal RNA". It matches the Rfam family "Bacterial small subunit ribosomal RNA", at positions 355 to 776 of the family's 1533-position model. The record is from RNAcentral. Lineage: Bacteria; Pseudomonadati; Pseudomonadota.
UGGGGAAUAUUGGACAAUGGGCGAAAGCCUGAUCCAGCCAUGCCGCGUGUGUGAAGAAGGUCUUCGGAUUGUAAAGCACUUUAAGUUGGGAGGAAGGGCAGUAAGCGAAUACCUUGCUGUUUUGACGUUACCGACAGAAUAAGCACCGGCUAACUCUGUGCCAGCAGCCGCGGUAAUACAGAGGGUGCAAGCGUUAAUCGGAAUUACUGGGCGUAAAGCGCGCGUAGGUGGUUCGUUAAGUUGAAUGUGAAAGCCCCGGGCUCAACCUGGGAACUGCAUCCAAAACUGGCGAGCUAGAGUAGGGCAGAGGAUGGUGGAAUUUCCUGUGGAGCGGUGAAAUGCGUAGAUAUUGGAAGGAACACCAGUGGCGAAGGCGACCACCUGGGCUCAUACUGACACUGAGGUGCGAAAGCGUGGGGAGCAAACAGG